This 674-nucleotide ribosomal RNA is filed under the name uncultured beta proteobacterium. RNAcentral describes it as "bacterial SSU rRNA". It matches the Rfam family "Bacterial small subunit ribosomal RNA", at positions 8 to 679 of the family's 1533-position model. Lineage: Bacteria; Pseudomonadati; Pseudomonadota; Betaproteobacteria. The record is from RNAcentral.
AGAGUUGUAUCCUGGCUCAGAUUGAACGCUGGCGGCAUGCCUUACACAUGCAAGUCGAACGGUAACAGGCCGCAAGGUGCUGACGAGUGGCGAACGGGUGAGUAAUGCAUCGGAACGUGCCCAGUCGUGGGGGAUAACUGCUCGAAAGAGCAGCUAAUACCGCAUACGACCUGAGGGUGAAAGCGGGGGACCGUAAGGCCUCGCGCGAUUGGAGCGGCCGAUGUCAGAUUAGCUAGUUGGUGGGGUAAAGGCCUACCAAGGCAACGAUCUGUAGUUGGUCUGAGAGGACGACCAGCCACACUGGGACUGAGACACGGCCCAGACUCCUACGGGAGGCAGCAGUGGGGAAUUUUGGACAAUGGGCGCAAGCCUGAUCCAGCAAUGCCGCGUGCAGGAAGAAGGCCUUCGGGUUGUAAACUGCUUUUGUCAGGGAAGAAAUCCUCUGGGUUAAUACCUCGGGGGGAUGACGGUACCUGAAGAAUAAGCACCGGCUAACUACGUGCCAGCAGCCGCGGUAAUACGUAGGGUGCAAGCGUUAAUCGGAAUUACUGGGCGUAAAGCGUGCGCAGGCGGUCUUGCAAGACAGAGGUGAAAUCCCCGGGCUCAACCUGGGAACUGCCUUUGUGACUGCAAGGCUAGAGUACGGCAGAGGGGGAUGGAAUUCCGCGUGUAGC